This 429-nucleotide ribosomal RNA is filed under the name Fusobacteriota bacterium. RNAcentral describes it as "Fusobacteria bacterium partial 16S ribosomal RNA". It matches the Rfam family "Bacterial small subunit ribosomal RNA", at positions 355 to 776 of the family's 1533-position model. The record is from RNAcentral. Lineage: Bacteria; Fusobacteriati; Fusobacteriota.
UGGGGAAUAUUGCACAAUGGGCGCAAGCCUGAUGCAGCCAUGCCGCGUGUAUGAAGAAGGCCUUCGGGUUGUAAAGUACUUUCAGCGGGGAGGAAGGGAGUAAAGUUAAUACCUUGGCUCAUUGACGGUACCCGCAGAAGAAGCACCGGCUAACUCCGUGCCAGCAGCCGCGGUAAUACGGAGGGUGCAAGCGUUAAUCGGAAUUACUGGGCGUGAAGGGCACGCAUGCGGUUUGGUAAGUCAGAUGUGAAAUCCCCGGGCUCAACCUGGGAACUGCAACUGGUACUGGCCAGCUUGGGUCUCGUAGAGGGGGGUAGAAUUCCCGGUGUAGCGGUGAAAUUCGUAGCGAACUGGAGGAAUACCGGUGGCCAAAGCGGCCCCCUGGACGAAGACUGACGCUCAGGUGCGAAAGCGGGGGGAGCAAACAGG